This 71-nucleotide transfer RNA is filed under the name Capra hircus (goat). It matches the Rfam family "tRNA". From Rfam's summary of the family: Transfer RNA (tRNA) molecules are approximately 80 nucleotides in length. The record is from Rfam by way of RNAcentral. Lineage: Eukaryota; Metazoa; Chordata; Mammalia; Artiodactyla; Bovidae. RNAcentral also lists the same sequence under 1 other name.
UCCCUGGUUGCUCAGGUGGUAGAGAAUCUGCCUGCAGUGCAGGAGACCAGGGUCCAAACCCUGCUGGGAAG